UACGGAGGAAACGUUUCGCUACGACGCAGACACAUUGAAGCUUAAGGAAAAACUUGACUUGGUGCAGGAGCAAAUAAGCGAAAAGCAAUAUGAUAUACAAUUGUCGAAUGAUAAGACUGCCACCGUGGAAAAAGAAUUGGCCUGGAACAUAAAGCAAUACGACGAAGAAUUAAAAUUUUGUCCGACGGAAUUGAAGAUCAGCGUAAUCUGAUAGAUCGAUUGAGAUUGGAUAAUCAAACAGAAAUGUCGGGAAAA
Long non-coding RNA from Xenia sp. Carnegie-2017, 255 nucleotides. RefSeq lists it as uncharacterized. The transcript has 3 exons. The record is from RefSeq and is a predicted model, not a curated record. NCBI's taxonomy places the organism in Eukaryota, Metazoa, Cnidaria, Anthozoa, Malacalcyonacea, Xeniidae.